RNAcentral lists this non-coding RNA (109 nucleotides) under Bacillus sp. (in: firmicutes). Its description in RNAcentral is "Bacillus sp. SAM-I sequence". It matches the Rfam family "SAM riboswitch aptamer (S box leader)". From Rfam's summary of the family: The SAM riboswitch is found upstream of a number of genes which code for proteins involved in methionine or cysteine biosynthesis in Gram-positive bacteria. The record is from RNAcentral. RNAcentral also lists the same sequence under 1 other name. Lineage: Bacteria; Bacillati; Bacillota; Bacilli; Caryophanales; Bacillaceae.
UUCUUAUCCAGAGAGGCAGAGGGACUGGCCCUAUGAAGCCUCAGCAACCGGCUGAUUUUUAUCAGCGAUGGUGCUAACUCCAGCAGGUUAAAAGCCUGACAGAUAAGAG